Molecule: ribosomal RNA, 550 nt
Filed under: Aspergillus fischeri
Lineage: Eukaryota; Fungi; Ascomycota; Eurotiomycetes; Eurotiales; Aspergillaceae
Description: eukaryotic LSU rRNA
Rfam family: 5.8S ribosomal RNA (bases 184-337)
Source: RNAcentral
GAGUGAGGGCCCUCUGGGUCCAACCUCCCACCCGUGUCUAUCGUACCUUGUUGCUUCGGCGGGCCCGCCGUUUCGACGGCCGCCGGGGAGGCCUCGCGCCCCCGGGCCCGCGCCCGCCGAAGACCCCAACAUGAACGCUGUUCUGAAAGUAUGCAGUCUGAGUUGAUUAUCAUAAUCAGUUAAAACUUUCAACAACGGAUCUCUUGGUUCCGGCAUCGAUGAAGAACGCAGCGAAAUGCGAUAAGUAAUGUGAAUUGCAGAAUUCAGUGAAUCAUCGAGUCUUUGAACGCACAUUGCGCCCCCUGGUAUUCCGGGGGGCAUGCCUGUCCGAGCGUCAUUGCUGCCCUCAAGCACGGCUUGUGUGUUGGGCCCCCGUCCCCUCUCCCGGGGACGGGCCCGAAAGGCAGCGGCGGCACCGCGUCCGGUCCUCGAGCGUAUGGGGCUUUGUCACCCGCUCUGUAGGCCCGGCCGGCGCCAGCCGACACCCAACUUUUUUUCUAAGGUUGACCUCGGAUCAGGUAGGGAUACCCGCUGAACUUAAGCAUAUCAA